Oncorhynchus keta (chum salmon) is the source of this 2066-nucleotide long non-coding RNA. RefSeq lists it as uncharacterized. The transcript is spliced from 6 exons. The record is from RefSeq and is a predicted model, not a curated record. Lineage: Eukaryota; Metazoa; Chordata; Actinopteri; Salmoniformes; Salmonidae.
AAAUUGAACCAGAACCAUGCAUUAUGCAUAACUUGUAGCAGGCUUAUAGAAAUGAACACAGGUCUCAUCAACAAACUCUCAAGCACAAGCCCACGUGCUAGCCAGCUAAUGUUAAUAUUUCAAGUUUAGCCAACUUGACUCUAUUUGCUCGCUAACAAUGGAGAACAGUUGAAUUGUUAUGAACACACCCUUCUGUCCUCUCCAACUGUUUGAACAGCAUGCUAGCCUGUCAACGUUUCAGGUGUUGAAAUCAAGUGGCCUACCUUCUUUCUCAGAAUGAGAAUGAGUUUGUAAUUCCUAAUAUAAUUGUGUUUUAUGCUCAUUGCACAUUUAUAAAACACAAACUAGACAGCUAGUAUGCUGUUAGCGGUACGUAGUACCAGAAUGCUACGCGCAACAAACUGAGCGUUACAUUUCCAGAAACUAUGUUUAUCGAUACUCUCGUUAUAGUCGUGUUUGUUCCGCUCUCAAUCUGAGUAGUUGAGACAUAAACAGGGUAUGGUUAGAAAGGUUAACAUCUCCUCCAUUACAGUAAAAUAAUAUAAAUGUGUGUUUCAGUCUCCAGGUUAACAUCUCCUCCAUUACAGUAAAAUAAUAUAAAUGUGUUUCAGUCUCCAGGUCAACGUCUCCUCCAUUACAGUAAAAUAAUGUCUCAAUGUGUUUCAGUCUCCAGGUUAACAUCUCCUCCAUUUCAGUAAAAUAAUGUCUCAAUGUGUUUCAGUCUCCAGGUUAACAUCUCCUCCAUUUCAGUAAAAUAAUGUCUCAAUGUGUUUCAGUCUCCAGGUUAACAUCUCCUCCAUUACAGUAAAAUAAUGUCUCAAUGUGUUUCAGUCUCCAGGUUAACAUCUCCUCCAUUACAGUAAAAUAAUGUCUCAAUGUGUUUCAGUCUCCAGGUUAACAUCUCCUCCAUUACAGUAAAAUAAUGUCUCAAUGUGUUUCAGUCUCCAGGUUAACAUCUCCUCCAUUUCAGUAAAAUAAUGUCUCAAUGUGUUUCAGUCUCCAGGUUAACAUCUCCUCCAUUACAGUAAAAUAAUGUCUCAAUGUGUUUCAGUCUCCAGGUUAACAUCUCCUCCAUUUCAGUAAAAUAAUGUCUCAAUGUGUUUCAGUCUCCAGGUUAACAUCUCCUCCAUUACAGUAAAAUAAUGUCUCAAUGUGUUUCAGUCUCCAGGUUAACGUCUCCUCCAUUACAGUAAAAUAAUGUCUCAAUGUGUUUCAGUCUCCAGGUUAACGUCUCCUCCAUUACAGUAAAAUAAUGUCUCAAUGUGUUUCAGUCUCCAGGUUAACAUCUCCUCCAUUACAGUAAAAUAAUGUCUCAAUGUGUUUCAGUCUCCAGGUUAACAUCUCCUCCAUUUCAGUAAAAUAAUGUCUCAAUGUGUUUCAGUCUCCAGGUUAACAUCUCCUCCAUUACAGUAAAAUAAUGUCUCAAUGUGUUUCAGUCUCCAGGUUAACAUCUCCUCCAUUUCAGUAAAAUAAUGUCUCAAUGUGUUUCAGUCUCCAGGUUAACAUCUCCUCCAUUACAGUAAAAUAAUGUCUCAAUGUGUUUCAGUCUCCAGGUUAACGUCUCCUCCAUUACAGUAAAAUAAUGUCUCAAUGUGUUUCAGUCUCCAGGUUAACAUCUCCUCCAUUACAGUAAAAUAAUGUCUCAAUGUGUUUCAGUGUCCAUACGACCCAUUCUGUUGGACCAAACCUCAAACGCAAAUAGCGAGUUGAAACUGCUUGUCAGAGAAUAAGUGAUUUUUAGUAUUUUUUGUUGUGAGUGGCAGGGAGAGGGGCUUGGUCUGUGUGUGUAAAGAGGGGAAGCGAGAGGUUUCAUAUAUCAGCCAGCCCUAGCGCACACACACACAACCUCCUUGUGGGAACACACACUUCAGUCCCAUUCAAAAUACUAUUUUCCCUAACCUGAAAACCUAACCUUAACCCUUAACCUAGCUGCUAACCCUAAAGCUAACCUUAACCCUUAACCUAGCUGCUAACCCUAACCCUAAACUUAACCUUAACCUUUAACCGAGCUGCGAAACCUAAACCUAACCUUAACCCUUAACCUAGCUGCUAACCCUAAAUUUAAC